AGAUUAGUUUCAGUGAGUUUACACAGUCAGCGUUUUGGCGGUGAGGCUCUGAAGUUGAAUCAAGCCAAGAAAUACAAUUGAUCAUCCUAGUCUGCAAAUUUCAUUUGCAAGUUCAAUUGAAGUGAAGAAGAGAGUGCACCUGAUGUAGUAGCCACUGUAAGAACUGUGUUGGAGAAUGAUCCGAUUGGCCAGUGCAAGAGGGAUUGCAGAGAAGAAGAAACCACAAGCAGAAAAACCAGAUGAGGAAAUUAAGCUAAAUAUUAACUAUCUCAAGAAUAUUCCCAGAAGUGACUGCUAAAUUUAAAUCCCUGCUCACAAUGAAAUACUGUACAGCAGGGGUUCUCAAACUUUUUGGUCUUAGGACCCUUACAGCCUUAAAAAUUAUUGAGAACUCCAAAGAACUUUCAAUUAUGUGGGUCAUAACUACUGAUACUUACUGUAUUAUAACUUGAAACUGAAAAAAUUUUUAAAUAUUUAUAAACAUUUAAAAAUAAUAAACCCAUUGUAAGCUAAUGUAAAUAGCAUGUUUUUAUUAAAAAUCACUUUGUUUUCCAAAGCAAAAAAUGUAGUGAGAAGAGAGGCCUUCUUUUACAUUUUAAUAUCUGGCUUAUGAGAAAAUAGCUGAGUUUCUCAUUUCUGCUUCUCCAUUUAAUCUGUUGGUGUAUAUUUUAUUUAAAGUACAGUUAACCCUUGAAGAACGUGGGUCUGAACUGUGCAGGUCCACUUAUACAUGGAUUUUUUUCUAAUAAAAGUUGCAAAUAUGCCUGUCUCUCCUACCUCCUUAUUCACCGCCUCUACUUCUUCUGCCUCAACCACUCAUGAGUCAGCAAGACCAACCGUUCCUCUUCCUCCUUCUUCUCAAUCUGCUCAGCAUGAAGAUGAUGAGGAUGAAGACGUUUAUGAUGAUCCAUUUUCACCUAAUAAAUAAUAAAUAUAUUUUUCUCUUAUAAUUUUCAUUUAUUUAUGUAUUCGUUGAGACAGAGUCUUGCUCUGUCACCCAGUCUGCAGUGCAGUAGCAUGAUCUCAGCUCACUGCAACCUCUGCCUCUCGGGUACAAGUGAUUCUCAUGUCUCAGCCUCCCGUGUAGCUGGGACUACAGGCACACGCCACCACACCCAGCUAAUUUUUGUAUUUUUAGUAGAGAUGGGUUUUUUCCAUGUUGGCCAGGCUGGUCUCGAACUCCUGGCCUCAAGUGAUCUGCUCACCUAAGCCUCCCAAAGUGCUGGAAUUACAGGUGUGAGCCACUGUACCUGGCCAUGAUUUUCUUAAUAAGAUUUAUUUUCUCUAGCUUGCUUUAUUGUAAGAAUACAGUAUAUAGGACAUAAACAAAAUAUGUGAUUUGACUGUUUAUGUUAUCAGUAAAGCUUCUGGUCAAUAGUAGGCUAUUAGCAGUUAAGUUUUGGGGGAGUCAAAAAAAUUAUAUGUGGAUUUUCAACUGCAAAGAGGCCAGCUCCCCUAACCCCCACAUUGUUCAAGGGUUAACUAUAUAUGAAAAAAAUCCAACCUCACACGGGUAAGUAAUAAAUUGCUUUUUAAAAAUGUGGAUAUUCUUCUUUAUAAUACACCAAGAGUUGAAAAGUGGUAGUGUCUUAAAGAUUGGUUUCAGUAUGGAUUCUGAAACCAUGUCAAUGAACUUCCCAUUUUCUAUGAAAUUAAAAUCCACUGGUCUACCUUGUACUUUGAGUGGAUCUUUUACCCACACAUGAUUUUGUGUUAUACAUUGGUGAUUUGGGCAAUAUUCAUUCACUGAAUUACUCAGAUCCUACAAAUGUUUCAAUAUUUCUUUAUAUAAUACUUUUUAAAAUCAGGAAGUCUUCAAGAUCAUGGUGGUGGAUAUGUUUUCCAGAACUCUAAUUUUAGUUUGAAAGCUCAAGUUUUAUCAUUAGCAUCAAAUGCUGACAGUUGCUUUUCUGGAAGUUACAGGCUCACUUCAUUUAUUUUUGAGAAAAUGUUUGCCAAGUACCUAAGUCUGAAUAACAACAGUUUUCCCGUCAUUCCUUUAAAUAAAAUUGCUUUUCAUGACAAAAGUGACUAGUUUAACUUAACAACUCAACUGAUUCUCCUCAUGAGCUCUUUUUAUCCAUUGUGCUUUCUGUUGCAGAAGUAUUUUAUAAGCACUUUACAUCACACAGAAAAUAUUAAAAAGAUG
Molecule: long non-coding RNA, 2149 nt
Filed under: Homo sapiens (human)
Lineage: Eukaryota; Metazoa; Chordata; Mammalia; Primates; Hominidae
Description: non-protein coding MIR583HG:45
Source: RNAcentral